Molecule: long non-coding RNA, 2486 nt
Filed under: Homo sapiens (human)
Lineage: Eukaryota; Metazoa; Chordata; Mammalia; Primates; Hominidae
Description: non-protein coding lnc-METTL14-3:8
Source: RNAcentral
GGACUCUCCAGGUACAGCUCUUGCCUCCUGGCAGCCUCUGCAGGCCCAAAUUCUCCAAAAGUUGGCCUCUCCUAACUCAGCUCCUGCCUCAUGUCGGCCUACACAGGCCCAGACUCUUACCACACAGUAGACCCUCCAGGCCCACCACUUGCCUGAUCAUAGCCUCCUAAGGCCAAGCUCCUGCCUUUCAGCAGCCUCUACAGGCCCAGCUCCUGCCUCGCAAUUGCCUUUGUAGGCCAAGAUCAUGCCGCGAAGUGGCCUUUCCUAGCCUAACUUUUGCUUUUUGACGCAUACUCCAGUCCCAAAACUUCCUCCAGUCAGCCGGUCCAGGCCAAGCUCUUCCUCCCAAAGGCUUCUGCAGGCCAAAAUCAUCCUGAAGUCACCCUCUGCAGGCCCAGCUCCUGCCUCCAAGUGCUGUGUAGGCCAAGCUAAUGCCUCACAGCACACUUUCCAGGCUGAGCGUUUCCUUUUGUGCAUCCUCUCCAAGCCCUGAACUUACUCCACUUGGCCUCUCCAGACCAAGCUCUCCCUCCCAGUGGCCUCUACAGGCCAAAAUUGUCCUCAGGUCUGCCUCUCCAGGGCCACCUCUUAGCUACCAGUGGCUUCUGCUGGCCAAAAUCGACCUCAAGUCAGCCUCUUCACACCCAGCUCUUGCCUCUGAGUGGCCUCUCCAGGAGCAAAACUUUCUCAAGUCGGCCUCUCCAGGCCCAGCCUCCUGCUUCCCGAGGGCAUGUACAGGCCCAGCCUCUGCCUCACAGCAGACUCUCCACACCCAGCUCUUCCCUGUCUGCGGCCUCUCCAGUCCAAAGCUGCUGCUGCCUUUUGGCAGCUUGUACAGGCUCAGCUCCUCCCUCACGGUGGCCUCUUUCAGCCCAACUCAUGCCUCUUGCAACCUGCCCAAGUGUCAGCUCCUGUCUCACACUGGCCUGUUGAGGGCCAGCUCAUGCCUCUCGUGGCCUCAACAGGCCCAUCCCCUGCCUGUCGGCGGCCUCUACAGGCCCGGCCUCUACCUCACAGUGGGCUCUCCAGGCCCACCUCUUCCUCACCGUGGCCUCCUGGGGCAAUGCUCCUCCCUCUCGGGAGCCUCUGCGGGCCCAGCUCCUGCCUCCCAGUGGCCUCUGUAGACCAAGCCCGUGCCUCAGGGCAGCCUUUCCAGGCCUAGCGUUUGCUGCUUUGCAUCCUCUCCAGGCCCUGGACUUCCUCCAGUCGGCCUCUCCAGGCCCAGCUCUUCCUCUCGGCGGCCUCUGCAGGGCCAGACUGUCGUCAAGUCGGCCUGUCCAGGGCCAGCUCCUGCCUCCCGGCGGCCUCUGCAGGCCCAAGUCGUUCUCAAGUCGGCUUCCCCAGGCCCAGCUCCGGCCUCUUGGCGGCCUCUCCGGGUGCAAAAGUUCCUCGAGUCAGCCUCUCCAGGCCCAGCUCCUCCUGCCUCCCAGUGGCCUCUUUCGGCCCAGCCCAGCUCAUGCCUCCCGGCGGCCUUCCCAGGCCCCGCUUUUGACUUUCGGUGGCCUCUGCAGGCCUCGACAAGGCCCGGCCUCCUGCCUCCAGAAGGCCUGCACAGGCCCAGCCUCUGCCUCACAGCGGACUCUCCACGCCCAGCUAGCUCUCGCCUCACUGCGGCCUCCCGAGUCCAAAGCUCCUGCCUCUCGGCCGCUUCGGCAGGCCCAGCUCCCGCCUGCCAGUGGCCUCUUCAGGCCCAUGGGGCUCAUUCCUCACAACAGCCUUUCCAGGCCCAGUUUUUCCCUUCCGGCGGCCUCUCCGGGCCCAGAACCUCCUCAAGUCGGCCUCUCCAGACCCACUUGCAGCCUCCCGGCAUCCUCUCCGGGCCCAGCUCUUCCUCCCGGCUGCGUCUCCAGGCCCGACUUUGGCCUCCCAACAACGUCUUUGGACUCAGCUCCUGCCCAGCUCCCAGCGGCCCUGGUAGGCCCACAGCUUCCCGAAGCCAAGCUCCCCAGGCCCAGCUCAGGCCUCACGGUGGCCUCUCCAGGCCAGCUCCUGCCCUCUGAUGGCAUCUGCAGGCCCCAAACGGCCUCCGGUUGGUGGGCUCCUCUAGGCCCAGCUUGGGCCUCCUGGCGGCCUCUGCAGGCCCAAAUCGUCCUGAAGUCGGCCUCUCCAGGCCCAGCUCCGGCCUCCCGGCGGCCUCUGCAGGCCCAAGUCAUCCUCAAGUCAGCCUGGAAUUGGGCCUGGAAGAGAGCAAGUCGGCCUCCCCGGGCCCAGCUCCGGCCUCUUGGCGGCCUCUCCGGGUGCAAAAGUUCCUCGAGUCAGCCUCUCCAGGCCCAGCUCCUCCUGCCUCCCAGUGGCUUCUUUCAGCCCAGCCCAGCUCAUGGCUCUCAGCGGCCUUCCCAGGUCCCGCUUUUGACUUUUGGCGGCCUCUUCAGGCCCAGAACUUGACCUCCAGUCGGCCUUUGCAGGCCCGGCCUCCUGCCUCUCAAAGGCCUGCACGGGCCCGGCCUCGGCCUCGGCCUCACAGCGGACUCUCCACGCCCAGCUAG